Molecule: ribosomal RNA, 406 nt
Filed under: uncultured bacterium
Lineage: Bacteria
Description: partial 16S ribosomal RNA
Rfam family: Bacterial small subunit ribosomal RNA
Source: RNAcentral
AUUGAACGCUGGCGGCAGGCCUAACACAUGCAAGUCGAACGAGUGGCGGCCGGGUGAGUAAUGUCUGGGAAACUGCCUGAUGGAGGGGGAUAACUACUGGAAACGGUAGCUAAUACCGCAUACCAUCGGAUGUGCCCAGAUGGGGUUAGCUAGUAGGUGGGGUAACGGCUCACCUGGGCGACUAUCCCUAGCUGGUCUGAGAGGAUGACCACCCACACUGGAACUGAGACAGGGUCCAGAAUCAAACGGGAGGCAGCAGUGGGGAGUAUUGCACUAAGGGCGGAAGCCUGAUGCAGCCAUGCCACGUGUAUGAAAAAAGCCUUAGGGUUGUAAAGUACUUUCAGCGGGGAGGCGUUACCAGCAGAAGAAGCACCGGAUAACUCCGUGCCAGACGCCGCGGUAAUAC